RNAcentral lists this ribosomal RNA (503 nucleotides) under uncultured bacterium. RNAcentral's name for it is "partial 16S ribosomal RNA". It matches the Rfam family "Bacterial small subunit ribosomal RNA", at positions 28 to 523 of the family's 1533-position model. The record is from RNAcentral.
GAUGAACGCUAGCGGCAGGCCUAAUACAUGCAAGUCGAGGGAGAAUGUUGGAUUCGUCUGACAUGAAACCGGCGCACGGGUGCGUAACACGUAUGCAACUUACCUUUAACUGGGGUAUAGCUCAGAGAAAUCUGAAUUAAUCCCCCAUAAGACUACGACAUGGCAUCAUGAUGUAGUUAAAGCUCCGGCGGUUAAGGAUGGGCAUGCGGUACAUUAGCUAGUUGGUGAGGUAAUGGCUCACCAAGGCUACGAUGUAUAGGGGGUCUGAGAGGAUGAUCCCCCACACUGGUACUGAGACACGGACCAGACUCCUACGGGAGGCAGCAGUAGGGAAUAUUGGUCAAUGGACGCAAGUCUGAUCCAGCCAUUCCGCGUGCAGGAUGAAGGCCCUCGGGUUGUAAACUGCUUUUGUACAGAACGAAAAGGUUUCUACUAAUACUAGGAGCUCAUGACGGUACUGUAAGAAUAAGCACCGGCUAACUACGUGCCAGCCGCCGCGGUAA